This 482-nucleotide ribosomal RNA is filed under the name uncultured bacterium. Its description in RNAcentral is "partial 16S ribosomal RNA". It matches the Rfam family "Bacterial small subunit ribosomal RNA", at positions 30 to 507 of the family's 1533-position model. The record is from RNAcentral.
AUUGAACGCUGGCGGCAUGCCUUACACAUGCAAGUCGAACGGUAACAGGUCUUCGGAUGCUGACGAGUGGCGAACGGGUGAGUAAUACAUCGGAACGUGCCCAGACGUGGGGGAUAACGAGGCGAAAGCUUUGCUAAUACCGCAUACGAUCUAAGGAUGAAAGCAGGGGACCGCAAGGCCUUGCGCGUUUGGAGCGGCCGAUGGCAGAUUAGGUAGUUGGUGGGAUAAAAGCUUACCAAGCCGACGAUCUGUAGCUGGUCUGAGAGGACGACCAGCCACACUGGGACUGAGACACGGCCCAGACUCCUACGGGAGGCAGCAGUGGGGAAUUUUGGACAAUGGGCGAAAGCCUGAUCCAGCAAUGCCGCGUGCAGGAUGAAGGCCUUCGGGUUGUAAAUUGCUUUUGUACGGAACGAAAAGGCUCUGGCUAAUACCUGGGGCACAUGACGGUACCGUAAGAAUAAGCACCGGCUAACUACGUG